GAUGAACCGCGUGGACAGAAUGCUUAACACACGCAAGUCGACUCGAGGUCUUCGGGACUUAGGGGUGGCGCACGGGUGAGUAACGCGUAAAGAACUUGCCUCUUAGACUGGGACAACAUCUGGAAACGGAUGCUAAUACCGGAUAUUAUGGUUUCUUCGCAUGGAGGAAUCAUGAAAGCUAGAUGCGCUAAGAGAGAGCUUUGCGUCCCAUUAGCUCGCUGGUGAGGUAACGGCCCACCAAGGCAAUGAUGGGUAGCCGGCCUGAGAGGGUGAACGGCCACAAGGGGACUGAGACACGGCCCUU
Molecule: ribosomal RNA, 304 nt
Filed under: uncultured bacterium
Lineage: Bacteria
Description: bacterial SSU rRNA
Rfam family: Bacterial small subunit ribosomal RNA
Source: RNAcentral